GCCUAGGUGGUGGAAUGGUAGACACUCGGGACUUAAAAUCCCGUGCCGGCAACGGCGUGCGGGUUCAAGUCCCGCCCUAGGUACCA
Molecule: transfer RNA, 86 nt
Filed under: Methanobacteriota archaeon
Lineage: Archaea; Methanobacteriati; Methanobacteriota
Also listed under: 2 other names
Description: Euryarchaeota archaeon tRNA-Leu
Rfam family: tRNA
About the family: Transfer RNA (tRNA) molecules are approximately 80 nucleotides in length. Their secondary structure includes four short double-helical elements and three loops (D, anti-codon, and T loops). Further hydrogen bonds mediate the characteristic L-shaped molecular structure. tRNAs have two regions of fundamental functional importance: the anti-codon, which is responsible for specific mRNA codon recognition, and the 3' end, to which the tRNAs corresponding amino acid is attached (by aminoacyl-tRNA synthetases). tRNAs cope with the degeneracy of the genetic code in two manners: having more than one tRNA (with a specific anti-codon) for a particular amino acid; and 'wobble' base-pairing, i.e. permitting non-standard base-pairing at the 3rd anti-codon position.
Source: RNAcentral